RNAcentral lists this ribosomal RNA (253 nucleotides) under uncultured bacterium. RNAcentral's name for it is "partial 16S ribosomal RNA". It matches the Rfam family "Bacterial small subunit ribosomal RNA", at positions 524 to 776 of the family's 1533-position model. The record is from RNAcentral.
UACGUAGGGUGCGAGCGUUGUCCGGAAUUAUUGGGCGUAAAGGGCUCGUAGGCGGUUUGUCACGUCGGGAGUGAAAACACGGGGCUUAACUCCGUGCCUGCUUCCGAUACGGGCAGACUAGAGGUAUGCAGGGGAGAGUGGAAUUCCUGGUGUAGCGGUGAAAUGCGCAGAUAUCAGGAGGAACACCGGUGGCGAAGGCGGGUCUCUGGGCCGAUACUGACGCUGAGGAGCGAAAGCGUGGGGAGCGAACAGG